CCACUGUUUACUCUAAACUACGCUGUUCUUUAAGUAAUCUAUUAGGACCGGGUGUAAUCUUUGAAUCGGGCUGGCGGGAGAUCCGAUUCCGGGUAGAUCGACGAUGGCCGGCAGUCUCGUUCUCAGUCGUUCUCGUGCCGAACUCCUCUCCAGUCACGUCGUCAUCAACGAUCUUUAACAAGUUAGUCUUUAAUUCCGUCACCAAUCUCUCUUCGUCCGUUCUGUCUUCAUCAGCAAGCAUCGUAGACAACUUCUCCUGUUUCACUUGGAUGUUUCCACUUGUUACUAAGUUUGAUUUCUGCGAUAUAUUUAUCAACUUUUGUAAUAUUAUUAAAAGACUAUUCAAUUAUCCAGUUAAUUUUAUUCAGUUGAUGUCGGAGGUGAAUUUAUGGGUUCAAAAUUUCUUCAUUUUCUAAGAACACACAAUAUUCUCCUCGAAAUCGUUUGUUUAUUGAUAAAUGAAUAAGGUUUGACAGAUACGAGUGAAAGCGCUUAAAUGUCUAGCCGGUCUCUCCCCCUCUAGAUCGCUCCAUCAUCAUCGUGCAUAACUCCUACCAAGAGUUGAUCAAACCUUCCACGCGCUCGUGACGGAUCCAUCGUGAAGCCUAGCUUUCCUAUGAAAUUAAAUCCAACCGAGUAGACUUUUAGGUACUCCGGCGUGCCAUGAAAGUAGAAGAAUAUUUCUUCAUUGCGAUAUAUCCAUUCGUGUGGAUCGACACCAUCUAAUUUCUAUUCGAGCGCACGUAAACUUGCGAUUGUGGUGAUCCCGAGAAAGAUCAAUAUCAUGAUUUUGUCAAAACCUAG
This 804-nucleotide long non-coding RNA is filed under the name Zostera marina. Its description in RNAcentral is "long non-coding RNA (ZMAR_LNC004444)". The record is from RNAcentral. Lineage: Eukaryota; Viridiplantae; Streptophyta; Magnoliopsida; Alismatales; Zosteraceae.